RNAcentral lists this long non-coding RNA (677 nucleotides) under Ananas comosus (pineapple). RNAcentral's name for it is "long non-coding RNA (ACOM_LNC013841)". The record is from RNAcentral. Lineage: Eukaryota; Viridiplantae; Streptophyta; Magnoliopsida; Poales; Bromeliaceae.
UAUGUAUAUAGAAUAAGAAAAAAGAAUUCUGCAUAAUUAUCACCUAACAUAGAACAAUAAUAAUAUUAAAGUACAAAUAAGAUGCAAAUUUCAUAUAUGAUCAAAUAAAAUUUCUAAUUUCUGUUUUAGAGGUAAUCAAACCAAAUAUUCAUAAACCAAAAUGACUACUUGCCUGCCUCCAAAAAUCAGCCCAAUAUGAUGGAAACCGAUAAGAGCUGUUUUGCCUACAAUUGCUCCCACCCUAAACUCUUCGAUUUAUGCAAGGGUUUCUUUCUCUCUCUUCUCAAAAAGGAUAGGAAAAGCUUUAGAAUUGGAGUAUUCCUGGUCGUGCACCCCUUGAAUGGAAAGGGGGAAAGAGGUAAUUUUGUCAUUUUUGACUAGGAAGCAUCAGGUGGCACAAGUACGUCAAUUUUGAAGAAGAAUGCACAAGUCCAAAACACAAAAACUGAAUUGCUCAAACUUGAAAUUAUACACAAGUCCAAAACCCAAAAUUAAUUUCUUUCUUUACCUGUUGGAGGAGGAAAAGCGUGCGGCGCCUCUCCGGCCAUGGCAGGGUGCGACCGUGGCCGAGAAGAGUGCGGCGCCUCCCCGGACAGCGGCGGCAACUGGCGACGGUGCGGCGGCGGCGGCGCCCCCGCAGGCGUUCGGGGCGUGCGUGCACUGGUUGCGGGUCCUAG